UUUUUUUUUAACUACUAUUAUAAUAAACGUUUUAAAUGACAAAACUAUGUAAACUAUUUAAUGUAAUAGAACUAUUAUACAUUAAUAUGAUUUUAUUAGUAAAUUACCCGAAAUAUAUACUGUUCAUGCGGCGUUAAAUAUAUAUAUAUUUGGAUGCAGUGACGUGUUAAAUAUAUGAUUCGAAAUAGGCAGGCCGUUUAGAGUAUACUGAGCCCAGUAUCUAUAAAAUCCGGCCCAUCUAAAUCGACAUCAAAAGUACUCCAUUAGUCUGUUUUGAAACGAAAGGCUUUUAUUAGAUUUUGUUAGCAUCAAAAUAUUAAAUAACACGUUCAUGAGAUGUGGAUUACUAUAAUUACUGCUGUUACUAUACUGUAAAUGGAAUAGUUACUUACCAGAUAAUGUGAUAAUAAAUCAGAAAUGUAUCAAUCGUAUAUAUAGUAAUAUAGUAGUAGUGACGAAUGGCUUGCGAAGUUAUGAGACUUUUUUUUUUUUUUGGUUAACAGGCAUGACUUACUACUAGACUUCAAGUAUUUGUUUAUUUUGUAAAUUUGUAAUGGUUAUUUAAAUAUAUAUACAGUAUAUAUAUAUAUAUAUAUAUGGUAUUUUUGUAUCCAUUGUUGUGAUCUUUCGGUUAUUAGAAAAUAAAAAGGUUUAAAAUAUUAAACAACAUAAUAUAUGUUGGAAUACAUUGUAUAUAUAUAUAUAUAUUCUAUUCGCAUAAUACAAAUCCU
RNAcentral lists this long non-coding RNA (731 nucleotides) under Capsella rubella. RNAcentral's name for it is "long non-coding RNA (CRUB_LNC004511)". The record is from RNAcentral. Lineage: Eukaryota; Viridiplantae; Streptophyta; Magnoliopsida; Brassicales; Brassicaceae.